UCCUCAAGGACCACCCGGGUGGCACUGACAGUAUUCUCAUCAACUCUGGCACAGACUGCACGGAAGAAUUUGACGCAAUCCAUUCUGAUAAGGCCAAGAAACUUUUGGAAGAUUAUAGGAUAGGUGAAUUGAUAACUACUGGUUAUACCUCAGAUUCCAGUACUUCAUCUCCUAAUAAUUCAGUUCAUGGUCCCUCGGGAGGCGGUCUCUACUUAGCCCCGAUCAAGGAAAUUGCACCGGCGAGAAAUGUUGCCCUAAUUCCACGUGAGAAAAUUCCAUGCAAACUUGUUUCCAAGACGUCAAUUUCCCAUGAUGUUCGACUGUUUCGAUUUGCAUUGCCUGCUGAAGAUCAGGUUCUAGGAUUACCUGUUGGGAAGCAUAUAUUUUUGUGUGCUACAAUCGAGGAUAAGCUUUGCAUGCGAGCUUACACGCCAACAAGUGGAGUUGACACAGUCGGAUAUUUCGAGCUAGUCGUGAAGAUUUACUUCAAGGGAAUUCAUCCCAAAUUUCCAAAUGGUGGGCUUAUGUCACAGCAUUUGGUCUCCCUCCAAGUUGGAUCAUUCUUGGAUGUGAAGGGUCCUUUAGGUCACAUUGAAUACACAGGAAAGGGCAACUUUUUAGUGCAUGGCAAACACAAGUUUGCCAAGAAACUAGCCUUGCUCGCUGGUGGCACGGGGAUUACGCCGGUUUAUCAAGUUAUGCAGGCUAUUUUGAAGGAUCCUGAGGAUGAAACUGAAAUGUUCGUAGUAUACGCUAAUCGCACCGAAGAUGAUAUAUUACUUAAAGACGAACUAGACGAAUGGGCUGAGAAAUAUCCGGACAGGGUCAAAGUGUGGUACGUCGUCCAAGAAUCUAUUAAAGAAGGCUGGAGAUAUAGUUUGGGCUUCAUCACGGAGAGCAUUCUCCGAGAACACAUUCCCGAAGCAUCGAAAACCACUCUCGCAUUGGCUUGCGGACCGCCACCGAUGAUACAGUUUGCCAUUAAUCCCAAUUUGGAGAAGAUGGGCUACGAUAUAAAGAAUUCUUUGUUGGUGUUCUAGAGUGACACCUGAAGCCUAAUGGAUGGUUUGAUUAUUCGAUAGAUGAAAUAAAUUUUGUGAGUAUAAUACACGUAUCAUUCCUCUUGUUGUUUUUAUCAACUUGUCGACAAUCUUUCUCCUUUUUUCAAUUUUUUUUCUUUAGAUUUUAUUUUUUCUACCACUAUAUCUAGUCCCGGGUGCAAAGGGAGUCAAACUUUGCCGUCCAAUUUUGCUAUCUAUACAAUUAAUUUUUGACACAUCAUUUAGUAUGUUAGUGGUGAAGUUAAUAAGAGUAAAUCUGAGAUAACAAAUUAAUUAUUGAUGACAUGUCAUGAAUUAAUUGGAUGAACAGCAAAAUGGGACAGUAGAUCUUGACUUGUGCAAAGGUAUGUUGGCUUGCCAACUCGCCCAGGCUGUUUUAUUUACUUUAUUUCUUUUUGGAAAAACCAUCUAUCGUGAUAUAUAAUUCAAUCUAUGAAGAGAUUAGUUUGUACAAAUUUCCAUAGAAUGCAUCUUAAUUUCUUUUAUCUCUUAAUGAUUCCUGAAUUAUCACCAAUUUGUAAAAUAAAGAAAAAUAUUUAAAAAGUCUGCUCGACUUUGAAGGUAAAGUAUACGCGGCUUUGUCGUGUUGUCACCUGUGGAAUAUUGAAAUAUCCUGACCAAAAGCACACAACUUAAUAUAUUAUUGAAUAUCCAAUUAACACUUUUAGUAUUUUUUUUUUUAAUUCUAUAAUUGUUUAUUUCCUCACUUUUCUUAAUUCUGUAAUAAUUUAUGUGGUUGUGUUAUUGAUAUCUCUAGACGUAUGAUGUCCGUAUGAUAUUCCCAAAAUGUUAUUUGGACAGUACCCUAAAUAAAACAGAAUGAGGGACAUGUUCUUGACCUCAUUAAAUUGGACCCAAAAAUAAUUUGUUCAUGCAUUGAAAUGCUAUCCAAAUUCUGUUUAAAGAUGAUGUUAUAUAUAAAUGUCUAUGGAAAUCGUACUUCUAGUUUGUUCUUAACUAUUCUAAGUAUUGUAUUUGAUCUUGAUCGAGGAAGAAAGUUGUUUGCACCAUAUCUUCAAAAAUAGGACAAAAGUAGAGCAAACUGUUCACAAAAAAAAAGGGGAAUAUUUGAUAUAUUUGUGUGUAUUCUAUGUAAAGAAUUGAACGAUAGAAAUGAUGAUUUAUGCAAAAAAGUGAACGUGAUAUAAUGACACAUUAAGCAAAUGCCUCUUUGAUUGUUGGGUAUAUCUUGUGUGGAACUAAAGAAAUUUACAUUAAGAAAAGAAAUUUGUAAUAGAAAAUGUAAGAAGAGAGAAGUACACUAAGUCUUUGUUUGUCAAUCAUUCUACCACGUUAUUUUUUCUACAGUACUCAUUUUCAAUCACUCAUUUUUCAUUAAAAUAAUAUUACACAUAAAUCAAAAAAAAUUUCUUCUUUUUUAACUACAUAUUUCGACAUCAUUCACUAUUCCAUAACAUAUUUUUUGAAAUUAAAGGGCACAAACAGGCCCUAAAAGUAACUUAGUUUGAUGUAGUUGCAGAAGGAGGAAAGGAAAAUAUGCAAGUCCCAAAAAUCUACGAGUUUCUAACUAUAGAAAAUUUGUGCUCGUGUUUUGAAUAAGCUCAAGUGGAUUACAGAUGUAUAAAGAAUGCUAUCAAAUGCAAGGCUGGAGCUAGAAGAUAAGAUUUAUGAGGGGAAAUUACAUAAAAUUUUAAUUAUGGGGGCAAAGCUUGAAAACAGUAAGGACUUUUUUAAAAACCUUGAAAAAAUAUUGGACAAAAUAUUAAAUUUUCAAAUUUGCUGUGGGAGCUGGUGGCCCCACUGUGAAUCAACCCUUCACUCAAAUGGAUGGUCCAAAGUCCAAACAGGAAAAUAAUAGUAUGAGGUGGUCCAGCAGACUAACUAAUUACACACAUGCCAUUCAGUUUCUUACAGGUGGGCCCCCAUCAAUCUAACUCAUUAGAGGUGUCAAUUCGCUGCUAUGAGUAUCGAAAGCACCGUUUCCGGUGAGCCACCCCCGCCAGCUGCGGCGGCCAUAAUUUCUUUUGUAUUUUAUGGUGUGGAAAGGUCAUCAAAACUUGUCUCUGCGGCUCAAAUCCACUUGACCCCUAUCCCUUGUCUCUAUUAUUUCAUAUAAUCUAUACAUCUCUUGGUGUGUGUUGUUCAAGAUAAUGAAUAUAGGAAAGUGCUACAUGUACAUAAUUAUUUACAUAAUAAUGUCCAUAAUUACACGUGGCAAUGGAUCAUUCCUUUAAUUCAAAUCUUACACUUUCACAUCAAUAAUCGAAUUAUUGUCACAUCAUAUUAUGGACAACAUUACGUGCAAUAAUUAUGUAUAUGUAGACUUUUCUAUGUAUAUGUAUAUACACAUACUUUUUAAGGUUUUAUAUACACAUCAACCUUUGAAAUCGUGUUGCUCCCCGAAUGAAUGUUAACAGCAAUUUUUAAUAAGCUGUUCGAUGAUGCUUACAUCCGGUCUCCUCUACAAGUUCAAGUUGUAUCCUCAAAAUAUUAAUUUACAUGCAAAUUAAAUAUAUUUUUCAUUUCGCCUCUCUAAUAUCAUAUCAAACGUCUCAUCUAACAAUUUAAGCCAUUAGAAAAAUACUACAUAAAUAUAUUUAAAUCUUAUCCUUAUUAUGUGAGUAUGAAAAACAAUUGAAUAUUAAUUAAAUCCAGUUGCAUAAACUAAAUUAACAACUAACUAGCAUAUUGCUCCCAACCAUGCAGCAUAAAAUAUUAGUCUUAUUUCAUACGUACAAUGAUACAAUCUUGAAAAAUAAGUUUGUGAUUAUUGUUAUUUACAUAUAGCUUCUACAAUGAGUACAGUCAGGGAUGUUCAACAUAGUAUGUUAAAUAGAUGAGACUGAACACGAUUAUUGAAAGAGUAAAUUUAUCUCCAAUUUUGUUCACCAAGUAUGGAAAGAAGCAGCUAAAAAUGCACUGAUGCCAUCCCUAACAGCUUGAGAAACUGGUUUCUUUGCUGUGUAGGAAAGAGUCUAUGGAUCAAGAUGUGAAAAUGAAGCGAUUAACAGCAUGUUUGCUUAAGCCUUAAAGAAGACUUCUCACUAAACAAGUUUGGACAACUUAUCGUUUUCUUACUUUUAAUUUACUUUGUCCACUUGUAUACUUAUAAGUAAACUGUUUAAGCUUAGCCAAACAUGCUAUAAAUUUGCAAAUAUAGUGAGAGAAAUGACAUAUAAAUUUUUGAGCAUAUUCUCUCUCAUCUGUAGUCUAUGUCUUGAGGAACUUGAGAGAUAAUUAGAUGUCCUAAAAGCACUCAGAACAGUUCGACAUUUUAAGCUGAUUCUGCUUCCAUUUAGGCAAUUUUGACGUACAAAUUUAAAUAGAAAUUUUAAACUUAUUCUGCUUCCAUUUGAAUUUACGUAGAAAAUAUAUUAUUGCGUACGUAUGGGGUUGAAAAUAAGUACAUAAAAAAAUAGAGUUUAAAAAAAAUGGUUAUCAAAUAGGGGGUUAGUUUUACCUUACUAAUAAAUUAGCUUCAUUCUGUGGACCAAAUGAAUUUGUGGAAAAAGGUAGUGGUUUUUUGCCACCAUUAUGAAUUUUUCUUACAUCAAAACAAUCAAAUAUUGGUCAAUCUUUCUUCAAUUGUCUUAUCACCUUCCUGUUGAUUAAAAUGGUUGGUGAAGAAUCAAAGUUAUGGGCCAUGUUGUAUGAAUUUUGUAAACUUGACGGACAUAGUCACGUGAAAAUGUAAACAUUAGUCAAAGGGUUGGCCGAAAAUUACAAUAACAACAAAUUAAAUUUUAAUUCAAAGAAUAUGGUCGUUCGGUUGCGAGUUAAAAAUCUCAAUUAAUUGCUUGGACUCGACAAGUAUUUGUGAAAAGUGACCACUGUGCUAAAAUUCAAGUUAUGCAGGAAGUAGACAUUACCGUAACUUUUGGUAGGGAAAUGUUGUGUUGAAAUGCCAACUUUAUGAAUACCAAUAAUUCGCUUGACAUUCUCUUGAUGACGGGCGAUGUUUCUGUCGUCGACGGUGGUGGUUGAUUGGAAGUUAUGGUGGAUGAAGUGGUGAAAAUGGAAUGGUGGAAAAUGGGGUUAGGAUUAAUUUUUCUAUAUUAAGUGGGUGGGUGUGGAAUGGAGUGAGGAAGUGCACCUGAUUUUCCUAAAAUAAAUUUCUUCGCACUUGAUUAUUGAAAUGAACAAUGACAAGGUAGGAUGCAAUUCUCUCUUUUAAGUAAGGUUGAAGGCCCAAUAUUUUUGAAAGAAUUCUGGGCCUUUAGAAUUGGGCUCUUUACAAAAAUGUGUCUCAAGAACUGUAGUGAUGACAAAAAAAAUUCGUCUCGACAAGUUGAUGGGAUGGGAUGGGACUCGCCGCCCCUUCUCGGGGCAUGGGACGAGGAUGCCCCUCCCUGAACUUGCCCCGUGAAGAGAAAAACAAUUUUAAAAAAAUUUAUUUUUUAACAAUUCACCUAUUAAAAAUCUAUUUUUAAUUUGUAUAUAAUUUAUUCUCUAAUAAUAUCAUAACUCUAAAUUUUGAAAAAUGUCAAAAAAAAGGCAGCAAACGGGGUAAGCUGUUGCCCCGCCUCCUCUAAGGUGGGGCGAGGCACGACUGGGUUUGGGCAGGGCCCCACUGCUAUCCCUAUCAAGGAGUCCUUUACUCUAGCAUACGAGUCAAUGUUACAAUAUAACUAUCAUAUUCAAUUCAGUCAAGAUAUCAUGUCAUUCGGUGAAUGGUUGAGCCGAUGGAUUAUUGGUCAAAUCGAUAUGUCAAUGUUGAAUUUUUCAAUGUAUACGAAUUUUGUUUUCUAGACAAUAAAAAUUUCAAAUUGUUUGUUAAUAGUAUAAACAUUUUAUCUUAGAAAGGUAUUUAUAUUUUUCGAAUAAAAUAAUAAAAUUAAUUAAAAAAAGGAAAAAAAAAUACACUGGACGAAAAAACGGUUGUGGAGAUUAUAGAGAUGCAGGAUUUUUUUAAAAUUUUUAUUUUUUAUUUUUGCCUUAAUUGUUUUUAUCUUCCUUUUUCUUUUCCUUCUAUUUCCUUAUUUAUUUAUUUUGUAUUCAAAAAUUAUUUAUGUGUACCCAUUUUAUCCUCAAAACAGUGUUCUACCUAUCGUGAACGUGACAUUUCAAUGAUAAUAUGGACAAUUUUCUUCCCUAGGAAAAGUAAUGUAACAAAAUUAAGAUGUCAAGAAUUUAUACAUUCCACAUGAAAAGUCAGGAACGAAAUUUUUACCUAUGCUAUAAAUCGGGACCUCUGUGGCAAUUCUACCAUAGACCAGUCUAUACCUUUGAGGCCCUUUAAAUGUGACUAGUUCAUAUGUUCGACAAAUUCGGAUAAUUUCAUUAAGAUUGGCAUACAAUUUGACAUACCACAUGUCAUUGUAUCAUUGAACAACUUAAAAAACGGUCAACUUUUUUCACACAAUCAUCUAUUGACACAUGCAAUUAUAUCAAGCAUUCUGUUAAAUCCUUCUGGCAAAGUAGCUUUAUCCUUGAUGAAAAUGAGUUUAGUAUACUUUUUAGCCAUCCAUACAUACUAGACAGAACAAUACCAAAUAAAAUUAAUAAGAAAGAGAAAUUAAUUUUUUUUAUUGUGUGAUCCAAUUGGUAAAAAACAUCAAAUUUUGUGCGCACUUACCACGCUCUUCACGAUCAUACGUCAUAUGAGAUACAUAUUAUUCAAAACUCCAUACCAAACAUGUAUCAAGUGCUAACUAUUGUAAUCAAAAUAGAGAAUUAAUGUGAAAGUGAUUAUGAGUUACAAAUUAUGUACCUCAUACGACGUAUGAUCGCUGAGAACAUGGGAAGUACACACAAGAUUUGAGGUAGGAAUUUUUUUUUCCCUAAACCGAUGAUAUCUUGUGCAAGAAAUUCACUAAUUUAACCCUAUAUAAGAGAAUUCACUGCUUAAAUUGACUCCAAAGCUUCCUCUAGCAUACUCGAGUCAGUGAUGGAUUAUUUGCCCUUGCGAUAAUUGAAAGAUGAGAAAAAUCUUGAUCAAUAUAUUGUGGUAGUAGUAUUACUUAGGCCCUUUUUUCCUUUCGAUAAAAAUUAAUUUUUUAGUAAAUUUUGAUAAAAGUUGAUGACAAGUGUGGUUAAAAAGUUCGUGAAAAUUAUGAAUCCGUGUUAUUAAAAUUAAUUAUUAACUUUAAUUUUUUAGCCAAACCAAACGGUCCAAACCUGGGCUUGUAGUAUUGUUAUAAUAAUGAAGAUUGGAUUCUAAUGUUAAUUAUUGUCCCUUUGUGUGUGUAAAUAGAAUUAUAGGACAUGUCACUGCUUAUUCAUUUGUGAAGAUGGCUCCACAGUUUCUUGCAGUUCUUGGAUCCUGUUUGCAAGUGCUUUCUUUGCUUUUAUAUGAAUUUUUUAAGGUGCAUUUGGCACAUUGAGUUAGAUGGUAUCAAGAAUUAAAAAUAAUAUUAGAGAGGAUGGUAUUAGGUGAAUUAAUGUUGAUUAGAGCCAUCGUUUAACUAAUAUCUAAUACACAGAAGAAUUUAUUCUGAAAGUACCGAAACUCUCGUGGAAUUCUUUUCACUUAGAGUAUGUUUAAUUGACAUGAAAAAUAUCACCUAAAAAUGAAAAUGUUUUCCUUCUUUUGGGGAAAAUAAAAACCAUUUUCACGCAAGGAAAAUGUUUUUCUCAAAAACAAGGAAAAUUAAACAUAUUUUCAAAAGUUGGAAAAUAUUUUUCAUAGAAAAAAAUAGCAAUCAAACACCUUAAGUAGAAAUUUGGAUGGAAAACUGAUAUUUUUCAUGGAAAAUAAAUGUAAUCAAACACACCUAUAAAAAAAUAGAACCUAAGAAUUUAAAAUUGGGUAAUGCUACGUGUACAUAAUCGUGUAUAUAGACUUACACGUCACAUGGAGGAGGCCCACACAAUAAAGUAUAGAUGGACCGCCUACAUGUGAUGAGGGUGUAAUCCCAUAUGUACAUCUUGAUUUUCCUUUAAAAUUGGGCAUAAAAGAAUGAAUAAUACAGAAUCCCCUUAAAAGGAAGAAAGGUCAAAAAGUAGAUUUUGACCCGCCACAGUAUAUACUCUAGAAAAGGAAUCCCGAUGUCUCCAAAAUGACUAUUAGUUUGCCCACAUACUUUAAAUCAAACUACAAUCCCAUAUUUACACUACUGGGUCUGUGCACAUGGAAUUUUGAGUUCCAUUUGGCAUACAUUCUUUACAGACUGACAGGAUUUUUCUUCGAAAAGAAGAAAAAUAAGCCUACUUUAAGUCAAUUUGAAAUUAUAAUUGAGAACUGAUUAGUUAGAAAGAAGAAGUGCUCAGUAAACAAAGUGGACAAGAACAAGAAACACCAGCACAUCUUUAUCCCACUUUCUCUCCUUUUCAUGUGGUUAACUCUCUUUUACUGUAACCAAAAGAAAAGCAAAUGGCUAAUAUAUAAAGAGAGGGAAGGCCAACUACUGAGACCCCGUUUGAGAGGAAUUUUGAGAAUUGAUUUUUUGACCGUUAGAAGAAAAUUGAGGUCCAUCUGUGAGAGAAGAAGUCAAAAAUUACGACUGAAAUAAUUAAAUAACGAUCAAACAAUCAAUUUUUUGGGUAAAAAAACCUCUCCCAAACAGGCUCUAAAUAAAUGUCGCCUUAAAACACGAGAAAGACUACUUAUGUUUUCAUUUAACUUUCUUUUUGGUUUGAAUUCAUAAAAAAUAUUUUCUUUGUGUAAAAAUUUGUAUCACUAAACAAGCGUGCUAACUACUGAUUCUUAAUAAUUCCAAGAAUUGACUAAUAUUAAUUAUGUGGAUCAAAAGAAUGGUUAAAAAUCAACCUUUCAUUUUUCAACAUGAAGACCGAACUUUAACUAUUUACUUGACUAUAUUCAUUGACUUUUAGAUUCAUGUUCAACAAUGUAUCGGUAUAAAGAAAAGUCGUACUUUACAAUAAAAAAUUUUCAAGUUUAGAUUUUGAUGAUAAAGGAAUCUGAUUCGUGCAUGGGUUUGUGUCCAUGUGGACGAGUUUGUACACAUUAAAUCAUCAUUAAACUCUCAUAUGUCAAGAAAAUUAUAUUUAGAAAAGCAGUAUUAAAUGAUGAAUAGGUGGUGGGAAGAAAGUGACGAGGGUGGAGGUGACUAUGGAUGGCGGCGAGACAUGGCAGAUUGCCGCUUUGGACCACACGGAGAAGCCGAACAAGUACGGCAAAUACUGGUGCUGGUGCUUCUGGUCACUGGAGGUGGAGGUGCUGGAUUUACUUGCUGCGAAAGAAGUUGCAGUUCGGGCCUGGGAUCAAUCCCUCAACACGCAGCCCCAAAAUCUAAUUUGGAAUGUCAUGGUAACUCCACCCCACCCGCAUUUUUGGCUUAAUAUUCUGCCCGCUUGAUAAUAUUUCUUAAAUUUUUUAUUUUUGAAAACUCAUUUUUAACGUCACUUCUUUAAUAAAAUUAUUUGAUACAUGGAUUCAUAAUAUUUUUUAUUUUUUUAUUUUUUAUUUUGUUAACGAUACAUUCUUAAAAAGUAUCAAUUAUCUCAAAAUGGGGCUACCAAAGUCAAAUUUACUUAUAAGUACGCAGUUGGUAAAGACUUUUAUUAAGAAGUGUUUGGAAUUGAAAUCUAGCAACUUCUAAGAAUGCUAAAAGAUGUCAGGCAAAAGUUUGUUUAUAAGUUCACGAGUAAAUAAGUAAUUUUUAAUUGACCUAUAUAUAUGUAAUAUAUUAAGCCUUUUUAGUAGGGAUUAAAAAUUUAGAUUUUAAUAUUAGUUAAAAUUAAUAAUUAUCUUAAGAAGAUAUUUUAUGGGAUUCAUUAAUUUUAAUCACACAUCUCAUCAUUUUUAUCAAAAUCUACUAAAAAUUUAAACUUACUGAUUACUGAUAAGUAAUUUUAGCUGGGCACAAUGUAGACAAAAAAUUCUUACUACUGACCGUGUGCUGGCAUGUGCCAUUAUAAAAAUUUAAACUUUUUUUUUAUUUUUCAACCAUAUAUUUCUUAUCAAUCUACUAUUUUAAAAUAUGUUUUUUCAUAAAAAAAGGAAGUCAAACACCCUCUUAAAAAGCAAGUAACUUUAAGAAAGUAUAUAAUCUUUAAAUUGUGCAGGGAAUGAUGAAUAAUUGUUGGUUCCGAGUGAAAACUAAUGUGUGCAAACCACUCAAAGGAGAGAUUGGAAUCGCCUUUGAACACCCAACUCAACCUGGAAACCAAUCUGGUGGAUGGAUGGCUAAGGAGAGGCACUUGGAGAAAUCCUCCGAGGCAAAUCAAACCCUAAAGAAGAGUGUUUCAUCGCCUUUUAUGAACACUUCUUCAAAAAUGUAUUCAAUGUCUGAGGUUAAGAAGCACAACUCGUCCGACUCUGCCUGGAUCAUCGUCCACGGCCACGUCUACGACUGCACUCGCUUCCUCAAGGACCACCCGGGUGGCACUGACAGUAUUCUCAUCAACUCUGGCACAGACUGCACGGAAGAAUUUGACGCAAUCCAUUCUGAUAAGGCCAAGAAACUUUUGGAAGAUUAUAGGAUAGGUGAAUUGAUAACUACUGGUUAUACCUCAGAUUCCAGUGCUUCAUCUCCUAAUAAUUCAGUUCAUGGUCCCUCGGGAGGCGAUCUCUACUUAGCCCCGAUCAAGGAAAUUGCACCGGCGAGAAAUGUUGCCCUAAUUCCACGCGAGAAAAUU
This 10562-nucleotide long non-coding RNA is filed under the name Olea europaea (common olive). RNAcentral's name for it is "long non-coding RNA (OEUR_LNC012081)". The record is from RNAcentral. Lineage: Eukaryota; Viridiplantae; Streptophyta; Magnoliopsida; Lamiales; Oleaceae.